This is an RNA transcript of Dama dama (fallow deer), 3742 nucleotides long. It is a transcript of the gene named cytochrome b5, with no coding region annotated. The transcript has 5 exons. The record is from RefSeq and is a predicted model, not a curated record. Lineage: Eukaryota; Metazoa; Chordata; Mammalia; Artiodactyla; Cervidae.
GCAGCCCUGCCUGGGAGCCGAGCCCGGCAGCGGGGCAUGUCCCAGGGCGAGUUCGCAAAGACUGCCGCUCUUCUCCGUCCCGCUCUCCUGCUGCCUUUAGGGCCUUAGGCUCUCUGCGUUAAGAAAUGGCCGAGGAGUCCAGCAAAGCCGUUAAGUACUACACCCUGGAAGAAAUCCAGAAGCACAACCACAGCAAGAGCACCUGGCUGAUCAUACACUACAAAGUGUACGAUUUGACCAAAUUUUUGGAGGAGCAUCCUGGUGGGGAGGAAGUCUUAAGGGAACAAGCUGGAGGUGAUGCUACUGAAAACUUUGAGGAUGUUGGACACUCUACAGAUGCUCGAGAAUUGUCCAAAACAUUUAUCAUUGGAGAGCUGCACCCAGAUGACAGAUCAAAGAUAACCAAGCCUGCGGUGUCUGUCGAUGUCUUCUUCAUCUCCACAUCUCUGGGACAUAGUAAGUGUUCAAUAAAUAUUUCCUGGUUGAAUUUAAUGCUAAUUAAAUAACACUUUGAUGCAUUUUUCCUUAGGAAAAGAAAAUAAUUCCAGUAAUGUUCAUUUUAUGCCCAGGUUCACCCGCCCUUCUCUCUGAACUGAUCAGCUCAUUUGUAUGACCUAGUACCUUCUUUGAGGCUCCCUUUUGGAUUGCUGAAAUUCUGGGGGGCUUGACGUCUUUUGCUUUUUCUUCAAGGGAAAAAGUGUAGUUUCUCCUGUUAGGUGUUCAGUAUGUUAUCUUGGCACAUGUUGUUCAGCUAUAGUAAAAUGAGGAUUUGAUAAGGCUUAUCACCUGAACUUAGAACUGACAUAGAUCCAACUGUGUCCUGAACCGUGAUUCCUGCCAGCAGAAAGCACCAGUCAGAGCUAAGGUCUCCUACAUAAUCGCUUUACUCCCGAGAGACACACUCUUUCCUCCUGUAGAACAUACAUGGCUUUGCUUACUGCAGAGCAGAACUGGGAGAUUGCGGGGCUGGAACUUGCUGGUUUUCAAGGCCAGAAGCAAACACAUGGACACUUUUCUGGAUUUAUCUCUCUUGUGCUUCUAGCUUACCAGAAGAAGAGAAUUCCUUGUUGUGUCUGUAUAACUAUCCAUCUGUUUCCAGGCUGAUAAACGUACACUGUGGUCUGAAUUUUUGAAAUGUUGUCUGCUUAAACUGUUUGAAUUGUGAAACAAGAUGCACCAAAGAGUAUUAGCUUGAACCUGCCAAAGGGAAACAGAUUGAGUUGCCACGUUAAGGUAUUUGUAUUAAUAAAUACAGAGACAGUGCAGUUUUAAGUGAGCAAAUCCAGAUCUAUCAAUUUGACAUGGAGGAUAUCAGUAAUGGCAGUACCUACUGAUAGGUUUCUGUGGUUGCUAUCUUAGAAGCUUUGCUACAUAAGUGAGCUGAUUUGAUUCUCAAGGUAUCAUAGGGGAGCUCCUGGACCUACCAGAGAAAGUGUAAAGAAUGAAAGUCAACCUUGUUCCAAGCUUUGACUUUGUCAAGGUCACACACAGCAGGACCACUGUUGUGGUUUAACCACCCAUUUAAGGAGUAGUGCUUGCGAGUCUCUCAGGCCUCUGUAAGCUCUGACCUUUGCAUAAAAGCAUCGCUCCAUCAGCAGUAUUUUUAGGGAAGCCUUCCAGUGAAGGAAUGGGCUUAGUCAGAUGAACUUAUAAAUGAUUUGCAUGGGCUUUGCAUGAGAGCUUAUCACGUGUUGAUUUCAUUGCUCACCUUUUCCUGCCUGAAGCUGAACCCCACAAGUUCACUGUGUGAACAGGAGGCACAGCCUGUAAUAAAGACCGAAGUCUUUCCCCUGUCUUCCUUGAUAGAUUUGUCAGUUGCAUACCAAAACCCAACUGGGGCCCAGUGCUGAGUGGUAAUUCAAACUUGUCUUAACGCUGAAGCAUCCCUGGGUUAUUAUCUAACAGAUAAUAAGCAAUCAAAAAAUGCGUAUUGUCUUUUACAGUGCACCUCUUUAGAGGAUCUUUGUUGUUGCUGGUGGUGACCACACCCUAGUAGUGCAUUCCACUCAUGAUACCAACGAAGGUGGAGGAAGGCAGGCCAGCGAGUUUCCAUGCAGAGUUGUUAGCACGUUUGGUGCAAUGCAUGUGCUGGGUGUGACAAAAUAACCUCUGUUCACUGUUUCAGGCUUAGCUUUCUAGUGUGCCGAUAACACUUCACCUUAAAUGGACUGUUGCAUUUGUUUCAGAACUGAUUAUGUCUUUAAAUGUCUCUAAUAGCUAAAUAAUAUUUUCACACUGUCCAGUUACCUCUUGUAAUCCUUGUUCAUUUUAUUUGCCUAUACAAAAUGUGAAAACUAAUCGUGCAGUAGUUAUGAAUACUUUUGUAGUCUCUGAGAUUUAAUGUUGCUUCAAAAGGUAAUGACUGUGAAGUUUUCUUUUUGAAUGACUGUGUUUUUCCCUCCUCCUGUGUCAGGAAUCUUAAAGGCCAUGUCUCCAGGUUGGUGGGUGUCAUAACUGCUUUGCCUGAUUUUCCCCUGGAAGCUUUCAGCCUUUUUAUGGGAAUGUCUUUAACGCGCUUUGCUGUGUGUAGCAUUGCCUUGCUGCAGAUCAUUGAGCAUUUGCUAAUGCUUUUUUACUUUGUGCUUUGGGAAACUACAGCUGCAUUAUUUCCGUCUACCUUCCUGUGAGGCACUAAUGCUUUUGCUGGUGUGGAGCUUCGAGAGUGCUUCUUAACAACUUUUCAAUCCCAAAAAAGCUUACAUCCUACUUGGCCUUGGUUAUCCCAUUGUUUGGGGCGGACUGUCUUCCCAGAGCCAUCUGCAGUUCAUUUUCAUGGUACUGAUAAGAAGGACCUCUCUCAAAAGGUGUUGGAAGGUAAACCAGGAGAUAGCCGUGAAAGCCCCUGGCAUUUGAGGAUUUCUUGGUGGGUGACGGUGUGAUGUCAGCCUGUGAGGCCGCCGGUUUUUGUUUUAAAAAAUAAACCCUGCCAGAGUUAAAGUAAGACCAGGAAAGGUGGUCCAGACUGUUACAAUUUAUGCCACUUCUUUUUUUUGUUUUUUUUUGGUUGACACAUUUUUUAAUAUAAUCUGGGUACACUUUUACUUCUCUGAGAUUUGAUGAAAUAACUGAUGUUUUAUUGAACAUUUCAUUCCUGCUUUUGAAGAAUGAAACUGGUCUCCUUAAAGAUGAUGAUCCAUUUUUUGUAUUUAUAAAUGAUACCUGUGUUCAGUUUCUACAUUAAGCAUUUAUGUCUGUCAUAAAUUUAUUAUUUAUGCAUUAAGCAUAAAUGUCUGUCAUGUGCAGAAUUAGGUAUCCUAUUAAUUUUUAACAUUUUCUUGCAAAUUUUCAGGUUAUGUUCGUAAGUAAUUUAAAUAGAGACCCUUCUUAAAAAUUUUUUCUUCUGAAAAAAUGGUGAGUUUGGGUAUAUAAGUGAAGCUUAUGAUGUCAUUUUUCCUUCAGACUUUUUUUUUUGAAGAAUGCAUUGAAUAAGAAGAAUGAAUUGAAUAAACUGUUGUGGUCUUGUUUUAAAGCAGAUUGAAUUGAAUGAAGAGUCAGUUCAUUUGUCAAUUGAAAUGAACCGUCAGUUGAAAUAAAGCAGUCAAUUGAAUGAACGUUCAGAUGUUCCCUUUAACUUACCUUUUCUUGUGUUUCAGGAAAGUAUUAUUACUACCGUUGAUUCUAAUUCCAGCUGGUGGACCAACUGGCUGAUCCCAGCUAUCUCGGCACUGGUUGUAGCCCUGAUGUAUCACCUCUACACUUCGGAAAACUAAACGCAUUCUCAGAAGCCAAUGGAAGAAAAGAC